Molecule: ribosomal RNA, 139 nt
Filed under: uncultured crenarchaeote
Lineage: Archaea; Thermoproteati; Thermoproteota
Description: partial 16S ribosomal RNA
Rfam family: Archaeal small subunit ribosomal RNA
Source: RNAcentral
CCUAUGGGGUGCACCAGGCGAGAAAACUUUGCAAUGUGCGAAAGCACGACAAGGUUAAUCCGAGUGGUUUCUGCUAAAGGAACCUUUUGUACAGUCCUAGAACACACUGUUGCANGAAGGGCNGGGCANUAAUGUGGUG